RNAcentral lists this ribosomal RNA (267 nucleotides) under uncultured bacterium. RNAcentral's name for it is "partial 16S ribosomal RNA". It matches the Rfam family "Bacterial small subunit ribosomal RNA", at positions 89 to 354 of the family's 1533-position model. The record is from RNAcentral.
UGGCGACCGGCGCACGGGUGAGUAACGCGUAUCCAGCCUGCCCUUUACUAUGGGACAGCCCGUCGAAAGGCGGAUUAAUACCGUAUGUUGUCAUGUUGAUGCAUAUUUUCAUGACCAAAGGCUUCGGCCGGUAAAGGAUGGGGAUGCGUCUGAUUAGCUUGCCGGCGGGGUAACGGCCCACCGGGGCGACGAUCAGUAGGGGUUCUGAGAGGAAGGUCCCCCACAUUGGAACUGAGACACGGUCCAAACUCCUACGGGAGGCAGCAG